UACGAAGGGGGCUAGCGUUGUUCGGAAUUACUGGGCGUAAAGGGCGCGUAGGCGGCCGCUCAAGUCAGAAGUGAAAGCCCCGGGCUCAACCUGGGAACAGCUUUUGAGACUGUGCGGCUUGAGUUCCGGAGAGGAUGGUGGAAUUCCCAGUGUAGAGGUGAAAUUCGUAGAUAUUGGGAAGAACACCGGUGGCGAAGGCGGCCAUCUGGACGGACACUGACGCUGAGGCGCGAAAGCGUGGGGAGCAAAC
Molecule: ribosomal RNA, 250 nt
Filed under: uncultured bacterium
Lineage: Bacteria
Description: partial 16S ribosomal RNA
Rfam family: Bacterial small subunit ribosomal RNA
Source: RNAcentral